GACGAACGCUGGCGGCGUGCUUAACACAUGCAAGUCGAACGGUGAAGCGCCUUCCUUUUUGGUGGGUGUGGAUGAGUGGCGAACGGGUGAGUAACACGUGAGUAACCUGCCCCCUUCUUCUGGAUAACCGCAUGAAAGUGUGGCUAAUACGGGAUAUUCUGGGUCUGUCGCAUGAUGGGUCUGGGAAAGAUAUUGUUUCGGUGUGGGAUGGGCUCGCGGCCUAUCAGCUUGUUGGUGGGGUGAUGGCCUACCAAGGCGGUGACGGGUAGCCGGCCUGAGAGGGUGGACGGUCACACUGGGACGGAGACACGGCCCAGACUCCUACGGGAGGCAGCAGUGGGGAAUAUUGCACAAUGGGCGCAAGCCUGAUGCAGCGACGCCGCGUGAGGGAUGGAGGCCUUCGGGUUGUGAACCUCUUUCGCCAGUGAAGCAGGCCUGCCUCGUUUGUGGGUGGGUUGACGGUAGCUGGAUAAGAAGCGCCGGCUAACUACGUG
Molecule: ribosomal RNA, 494 nt
Filed under: uncultured bacterium
Lineage: Bacteria
Description: partial 16S ribosomal RNA
Rfam family: Bacterial small subunit ribosomal RNA
Source: RNAcentral